RNAcentral lists this small RNA (26 nucleotides) under Bombyx mori (domestic silkworm). RNAcentral's name for it is "ovarian small RNA-19571". The record is from RNAcentral. Lineage: Eukaryota; Metazoa; Arthropoda; Insecta; Lepidoptera; Bombycidae.
UAAUAGAGUUUGCGGGUCCUGCGUGU